This 824-nucleotide ribosomal RNA is filed under the name Symphytocarpus splendens. RNAcentral's name for it is "eukaryotic LSU rRNA". The stretch from base 388 to 539 matches the Rfam family "5.8S ribosomal RNA". Lineage: Eukaryota; Evosea; Eumycetozoa; Stemonitida; Stemonitidae. The record is from RNAcentral.
UCUAAAGGUACUGCGGAGGACAUUACCGUAAAACAAAAAUCCAACAGAGAGUGGAUUAAAAUCAAAGCUCGUGGAGUCAACUCUUGAAAAUGUCUCAGUGUAUUCUGAGAAAAUCAGGAGCCACGUAGCAUACUCCCACUGCCUCUUAUUGAAUUUCUGAGUUUAGGCUCAAGAUAUUUUUUGUAUAGAGGUGUGGCGUGGGGCUGAUCAAUGUUGUCAGUAUACACGUUAAAAUCGCAGAGGAAUGAAAUUGGGAUCGAUCUUGUCGCCUACUUCUAUCUCUGUAAAAAUAUUUUGUAGAAUUUGCUCUCUGUGAGAAAUCACGGAAGGUAAUGCCUAUGAUCAUGUUGAAAACGGAAACAUACAACCAAAAAAACUAAAAAUAUCAACCUCGAGUGGUGGAUCACUCGGCUCGUGGGUCGAUGAAGAACGCAAAUAACUGCGUGCAAACGUGUGAACUGCAGGACACAUGAACACCGACGUUUUGAACGCAUAUGGCGGCCUGAAAUAACUUUCAGGCCAUGUCUGGCUGAGGGUCGGAUAAGUAAGAUCAACCUUAAAUGCUCAUCCGUGAGUACUAAUCGCCGAGUUUGUUGCCGGUCUCAGUUUAAAUCUGAGUGGAUAAGCUUGGUUAGAGUAACAUGGGGUAGUGCCCUCGUAUAAACACGAUUUGUGCUGUGUCCGAUCGGUUAACGAGUGCUUGCAUAACGCUUAUGUGUCCCACCUAAAUGCUGUGUGGGUGAAAUCGAACUAGAAACCUCACAGCAGGCAAGAUUACCCGCUAAAUUUCAGCUUAUCAAUAAGCGGAGAGAAAGGGGAAGAAU